CCUACGGGAGGCAGCAGUGAGGAAUAUUGGUCAAUGGACGAGAGUCUGAACCAGCCAAGUAGCGAGAAGGAUGACUGCCCUAUGGGUUGUAAACUUCUUUUAUAAAGGAAUAAAACGAGGCACGUGUGCCUUUUUGCAUGUACUUUAUGAAUAAGGAUCGGCUAACUCCGUGCCAGCAGCCGCGGUAAUACGGAGGAUCCGAGCGUUAUCCGGAUUUAUUGGGUUUAAAGGGAGCGUAGAUGGGUUGUUAAGUCAGUUGUGAAAGUUUGCGGCUCAACCGUAAAAUUGCAAUUGAUACUGGCAGUCGUGAGUACAGUUGAGGUAGGCGGAAUUCGUGGUGUAGCGGUGAAAUGCUUAGAUAUCACGAAGAACCCCGAUUGCGAAGGCAGCUUACUAAACUGUGACUGACAUUGAUGCUCGAAAGUGUGGGUAUCAAACAGGAUUAGAUACCCUGGUAGUC
Molecule: ribosomal RNA, 460 nt
Filed under: uncultured bacterium
Lineage: Bacteria
Description: partial 16S ribosomal RNA
Rfam family: Bacterial small subunit ribosomal RNA
Source: RNAcentral